GCCGCAGGGCCAGACGGAUUACCAGGACGUGUACUCCAAGCAUGCGCUGACCAACUGGCAAGUGUCUUCAAUUACAUUUUCAACCUGUCCCUGACUGAGUGUAAUACCAACAUGUUUAAAACAGACCACCAUAGUCCCUGUGCCCAAGAAUACUAAGGUAACCUGCCUAAAUGAUUACCGACCCAUAGCACUCACGUCUGUAGCCAUGAAAUGGCUAACAUCAACACCAUUUUCCCAGAAACCCUAGACCCACUCCAAUUUGCAUACCGCCCCAACAGAUCCACAGAUAAUGCAACGUUUGAUCCAAGUUAAACAAUUUAAAGGCAAUGCUACCAAAUUCGAAUUGAGUGUAUGUCAACUUCUGAUCCACUGGGAAUGUGAUGAAUGAAAUACAAGCUGAAAUAAAUCAUUCUCUCUACUAUUAUUCUGACAUUUCACAUUCCUAAAAUAAAGUGGUGAUCCUAACUGACCUCAGACAGGGAAUUUUAAUUAGGAUUAAAUGUCAGUAAUUGUGAAAAAUGGAGUUUAAAUAUAUUUUGCUAAGGUGUAUGUAAACUUCCGACUUCAACUGUAUUUCCUCAAUUACCUCAACUAAACGGUGCCCCUUCACAUUGACUCUGUACCGGUACCCCCUGUAUAUAUCCUCACUAUUGUUAUUUUACUGCUGCCAUUUAAUUAUUUGUUACUUUUAUUUUUUAUCUCUUUUUUACCUAACACUUAUUUUUCUUAAAACUUCUUAAGCAUUGUUGCUUAAGGGCUUGUAAGUACGCAUUUCACCGUAAGGUCUGCACCUGUUGUAUUCGGCGCAUGUGACAAAUAAAAAAUGUGAUUUGAUUUGAGUCUGUAUUGUCUUUUUGCAUCCGCUAAUGGAUUUGCAGAGCUCGUACCUGCCAUAACCCUAUGUGAGUGCUCCUUAGUUUACAAGAAGUUAAAACACUCCUAAAACAGACAACUACACUACACGUUCAAUGAGACACACAAGCAGGCCAAAAUGGCUCCUACAUGGCCCAACGUGAACACUCAGAGAAUAGAGUAAUUUAGAACGCAAAGUACCAGCACUGACAAAUCUUCAGCAGCACAGUGGCAAAAAAAAACUCCCUAGAAGGAUGAGAACCUGACUCAGUCAGAGGCUGUGCACAUCUGACUGUAGCCUACCAGUAGAUGACAACAGUGUGACACAGAAGCACUUUUGCAAAGUAGACUGAAAAUUGUCAAUGGGCGCGUUCCUCUGCCCAGGCGUUGCUGACGCCUGCAAGAUUUUACAACGCCUUAAUAGGUAUUUUACGUAUCAGCGAAACACAUUAUAUGUUAUAGAAAACUGUCAGUCGAUGACACGCUUAAUGACAUGGCUGUAACGUCUGCGUCCAACUCACACUCCCAAACACUUAGAUCCCCGGAACGCAGCCCACUUUCCAGCUCACUCUCCAGAUCUCAAUCACAGGAAUUCUAGUCACCUGUUCACAUACCUGCAUGUCAUCCUCCCACACUAUUUAGUUCAGUUCCUUGCACCCCAUCACUGUGAGGUAUGGUUUGUUUUGAGACACACUUUUUUGGAGCGCUGGGUUUUCCCGUCCUUCUCUCCUCCCGUGUAUGAUAGUUUUUGCCUGCCUCACUCACAACGCCUUUUACCUAUUCCCUUCCUGUACUGUUGCCAUUUUUGGACCUACCGUGUAUGACCUUCUGCCUGCCCCUGGACUCAGCUACCUGCCUCCUCCUAUGGUCCUUUUCAUUAAACACCUGCUGCGCUCUGCGCUUGAAACCAGCUUUCCGUCUCCCUCGUGUUCAUUACAGUGGUAUGCAACCAUUACUAUCCAAUGCCCGAGCCGGGGUACACGACCAUAAACUAUUCUCUCAUUAACAUUUAAUUAUUAUUAUUUUUUUUGUAAUUUAGCAGACGCGCUUAUCCAGAGCAAUUUAUAGGAGCAAUUAGGGUUAAGUGCCUUGCUCAAGGGCACAUUGACAGAUUUUUCACUUAGUUAGUUCUGGGAUUUGAACCAGAGAGCUUUUGGUUACUUGCUCAAUGCUCUUAACCACUAGGCUACCUGCCAUCAAGCAAUACUACAUUGAGUGUAGUUCAUACACGUGGGAUCAGUUUCAGAAGCUGAGUGAGCAGGUGAUGGCUCGGGUGGAUAUGAGAGGGGAUGUGGAUAGUAUGAAUAACUGGGUGAGAACAGCGUUAGUGUGGGGAAGCUACUGAGGCUAUACCUAAGAGUUCAGGGAGGAGGAGGAGGAGGAAAGCAGUCCCAUGGUGGACGGAGGAGUGUGGGGCAAUGGUGAGGAGUAUGAACAGGGCAUUUAGAGUACUGUCAAAGAUGCAUAACUUCCAAUAUCUGAUUUAGUAUAAGCAGACCCAGGCCCUGGUGAGGAGAACUAUUCGUCAGGCAAAGAGGUCAUGUUGGCGUCGUUUCCUUGACACUAUUGGAAGGGCGACACCUGUGGGAGAAGAGUAGGGGGAUGAUUAAGAGGAUGAGUGGGGUCAGAAGGGAGUGGGAUUAUCAAGUGUUGACGAGGGUGAAGGAUGUGGCAGUAAGAGAUGAGGAGAAGGCAGAGAUGAUGGCCAAAGCUUUUGUCCAAGUGCAUAGCUCGGCAAAUUUGUCAGAGGAGAGCAGAGGGAGAGAGAGAGAAUGAGAGAGGAGAAUCCUGGAGUGCUGGAUAGGAAGGAGGAUGUAAAUUAUGCGUUGAAUGCACCAUUUACCAUUGCAGAGGUGAAAAGGGCAAUGGGUAAGGCUGGGUUAACUUCACCUGGGAAAGAUGAGGUGUGCUAUGUUAUGUUGGCCCAUCUUAGUGAUGAGGCACUUGAUAAGGUAUUGGUGUUGCACAACAGAGUGUGGGAGGAGGGGAAACUACCGGGCAGCUGGAAGGAGGCAGUAGUGGUACCAAUCCUGAAGCCAGGGAAGGACACAUCAAGGCCAACAAGCAAACAAGCUAUCGGCCAAUAGCUUUAACAUCACAUGUAUGUAAGAUCAUGGAAUGUAUGAUUACGGAGAGGCUAACUUACUUCCUGGAGAGCAGGGGGCUAGUGUCGCCACAUUAGAGUGGGUUCAGGAAGCGUAGGGGAACUACGGACCGAGUAUUCUGCUUAAAGUACCGCUUCCAGACAAACUAAACACCUUCUUUGCCCGCUUUGAGGAUAAUACAGUGCCACCGUCACGGCUUUCUAACAAAGACAGCACCCCCCCUCCUUCACCGUGGCCAACGUGAGUAAAACAUUUGAACUUGUUAACCCUCGCAAAGCUGCUGGCCCAGACGGCAUCCCUAGCCGCGUCCUCAGAGCAUGCGCAGACCAGCUGGCUGGUGUGUUUACGGACAUAUUUAAUCACUCCCUAUCCCAGUCUGUUGUCCCCACAUACUUCAAGAUGGCUACCAUUGUUCCUGUACCCAAGAAAACAAAGAUAACUGAACUAAAUGACUACCGCCCUGUAGCACUCACUUCUGUUAUCAUGAAGUGCUU
This 3451-nucleotide long non-coding RNA is filed under the name Salmo salar (Atlantic salmon). RNAcentral describes it as "lncRNA (ENSSSAG00000081774.1)". The record is from RNAcentral. Lineage: Eukaryota; Metazoa; Chordata; Actinopteri; Salmoniformes; Salmonidae.